Molecule: ribosomal RNA, 825 nt
Filed under: uncultured Pseudomonadota bacterium
Lineage: Bacteria; Pseudomonadati; Pseudomonadota
Description: bacterial SSU rRNA
Rfam family: Bacterial small subunit ribosomal RNA
Source: RNAcentral
AAAACCUCGCAAGAGGUUAGUAGAGUGGCAAACGGGUGAGUAACACGUGGGUGACCUGCCUUCGAGCGGGGGAUAACGUCCCGAAAGGGACGCUAAUACCGCAUGACAUCCUGUCUUUUAAGAGAUGGCGAUCAAAGCUGGGGAUCGCAAGACCUAGCACUCGAAGAGGGGCCCGCGUCCGAUUAGCUAGUUGGUGAGGUAACGGCUCACCAAGGCAACGAUCGGUAGCCGGCCUGAGAGGGCGGACGGCCACACUGGGACUGAGACACGGCCCAGACUCCUACGGGAGGCAGCAGUGGGGAAUUGUUCGCAAUGGGCGCAAGCCUGACGACGCAACGCCGCGUGGAGGAUGAAGACCUUCGGGUCGUAAACUCCUUUCGAUCGAGACGAAAUCCCCUGGGGUGAACAAUCCCAGGGGUUGACGGUACCGAGAGAAGAAGCCCCGGCUAACUCCGUGCCAGCAGCCGCGGUAAUACGGGGGGGGCAAGCGUUGUUCGGAAUUACUGGGCGUAAAGGGCUCGUUGGCGGCCAACUAAGUCAGACGUGAAAUCCCUCGGCUUAACCGGGGAACUGCGUCUGAUACUGGAUGGCUAGAGUUUGGGAGAGGGAUGCGGAAUUCCAGGUGUAGCGGUGAAAUGCGUAGAUAUCUGGAGGAACACCGGUGGCGAAGGCGGCAUCCUGGACCAACACUGACGCUGAGGAGCGAAAGCCAGGGGAGCAAACGGGAUUAGAUACCCCGGUAGUCCUGGCCCUAAACGAUGAAUGCUUGGUGUGGCGGGUAUCGAUCCCUGCCGUGCCGAAGCUAACGCAUUAAGCAUUCCGCCU